UACGGGGGGAGCAAGCGUUGUUCGGAUUUACUGGGCGUAAAGGGCGCGUAGGCGGCCUCCGCAAGUCAGUUGUGAAAUCUCCGAGCUUAACUCGGAAAGGUCAACUGAUACUGCGGGGCUAGAGUGCGGAAGGGGCAACUGGAAUUCCUGGUGUAGCGGUGGAAUGCGCAGAUAUCAGGAGGAACACCAAUAGCGAAGGCAGCUCGCUGGGACGGUACUGACGCUAAGGUGCGAAAGCGUGGGGAGCGAACAGG
RNAcentral lists this ribosomal RNA (254 nucleotides) under uncultured bacterium. RNAcentral describes it as "partial 16S ribosomal RNA". It matches the Rfam family "Bacterial small subunit ribosomal RNA", at positions 524 to 776 of the family's 1533-position model. The record is from RNAcentral.